CCAUGCUGUGUGCGGUGCAGUAUCCAGAAGGUACUGAUCACUCAGCCUGCGUGUAAUUAGUACCUGUCUGGGUAGAGUAACGCUCAACAAGA
Non-coding RNA from Equus caballus (horse), 92 nucleotides. The record is from RefSeq and is marked provisional. NCBI's taxonomy places the organism in Eukaryota, Metazoa, Chordata, Mammalia, Perissodactyla, Equidae.